Molecule: long non-coding RNA, 869 nt
Organism: Ananas comosus (pineapple)
Lineage: Eukaryota; Viridiplantae; Streptophyta; Magnoliopsida; Poales; Bromeliaceae
Exons: 3
Source: RefSeq, a predicted model, not a curated record
UUCACUUAUUCUUACUCCUACCCCUUGGUAGUUGCCUAGAAAAGUGUGGCUCGGCCAUCGCGUUGGUGGAUUCCUCAUUGUGGCGAGUUUGCUCAUGCUCAACGUGGUGGAUUCUAUAAAGGGACGAGUAUUUAUGUAACACCCUACACUCUUAACUUCUUGUUUUAACUCCUAUUCUUUUAAAAUUCGGACCUUUUCGUAAAUAUUAGUUUUUGAGGAACUCGGCGGCAUUUUGUGCCAACUAAUCACUAAUUCCUAAUUAUCUCCACCAUCCGUUUAACCUAGCCGCAACCCUCCUUAAUUCCUCCCUCAUUGCACCCGUACGGCUCCACCCUCCCACAUGCGUGCACGACGCCGUUGAUCACCGUCAUCGUCGCCGUAGUCCGCGGCCGCCGCCGCAAUCCUCAUCCGUCGGCAUUUUUUUUGAUUCGUCGUUGACGACAUUUUAUCGUCGUCGUUUCUAUCUUUAAGAAGGUUCCGACGAUUGAUUUUCUGCACAGUUUCGACUGGAUAAUUUUCUAUCUUUGAAGCUGCGUUAAGGUACCGAGACUGAUUUGCCGGGCGGGGCUGAGACUAAGUGAACGUUAGACGUAGCAAGUUUUGAUUUUAGUCCCUUUUGUUUUUACAUCUAGUAUUUUCGAAUUAUCUAUGAUCGUUUGUUAUCUAUUUUGUUUCGUUAUAUCUUCGUACCCACUUUUGUCACUUAUAGUAUUUCCGAACCUCUCUUGUGAUUCGUAGUAAGCUUUAGUUCUAUAGAUGUUAGAAUUUCAUUUGAUUUUAGUUAAAAUUCAAUUUCUUAGUCUCAUCCUAUGAUUCUUUGGAUUUAGUGGAAAAUUUGGUAAUCAUCUUUUUGCUAGCUUCCGUCUGAU